This 1045-nucleotide long non-coding RNA is filed under the name Homo sapiens (human). Its description in RNAcentral is "HSALNT0284997". Lineage: Eukaryota; Metazoa; Chordata; Mammalia; Primates; Hominidae. The record is from RNAcentral.
CUGUUGUAAAAAGGAUUGAGUUCUUGAUUGAUUCCCAGCUUGGUCAUUGGUGUAUAGCAGUGCUACUGAUUUGUUUACAUUCAUUUUGUAACCUGAGACUUUACUGAAUUCGUGUAUCAGAUCUAGGAGCCUUUUGGUUCUUCAUCGGGUAAUUGAGCUGAUAUCAGGUGUCUGAAGGAGGCAAGUUUUGAAGAUGUGGGUCAUGAUGGCUGCUGAAGCUUCCACUCCAUAUUUGAAGGUCAGCAGUUCUCAGGAAACCUCUAGCACUUCCAUCCCUGGUGGGAUGUGAUGCCUGUCUCAGUGUAACAUCAGAGAAGGGGUGUACUCUGUGCCCUAGAACUAGGAGCUAACAGAGAAAAACCAAAUGUGAUGUGGAGUCUGCUAGACAGGCUACUGGAGCAAGAGUGAAGCGAUGAAAGUCUCAUCAUUGGGACAUAUUAGGGAGGCAGCAGGUGGCUGAAAUCCUGGUGUGAUGUGGCUGGAUCAUGCAUGAUCUGAGGACUCCUGCACAGGUGACUGCAGGAUGAGUACAGAAUUUUUCUAUAAAUAUACUAAAAUACCAAGUAAGCCAGGAGCAGCCACUAGGCAAACACCAAACCUUGCAUUCCUGGCCAAACCUAUCACAGAGCUCAUCAGAUGCAGUGGAUCCCCAGGUUGCAAGUCAUAUAACCUGAGCAUGCCCAGAUGAACCAAGUAUGCCUGAUUGGUGAACCUGGAACUGGCCAGAACAGAAAAUGUCAACCACAUGUGGAAUCUAAGUAUUCAGAUUGAGAAAUGAGGACCAAAAUGAGAACACUGAGCUCCUCACACAGGUGACUGAACCCGUGGUUUUGGUGUCUGAGAAGAUGCAGCUUCUCCAGUCUCUGCAACUGACGGCAGGAAGAUGGGAGCACUCAGCUUCAGUGUUCAGAAGCAGAUUUAGGCCAAUUGCCAUACCUUACGUUCUGGAGGGAUCCACCCUGACCUGAGCAGGCAUCACACACAUUCCCAAGCAGCAUGGUUCCCGUGAGAAACUGAAAACUAAUUUCUUGAAUCUACAAUGCGA